RNAcentral lists this ribosomal RNA (253 nucleotides) under uncultured bacterium. Its description in RNAcentral is "partial 16S ribosomal RNA". It matches the Rfam family "Bacterial small subunit ribosomal RNA", at positions 524 to 776 of the family's 1533-position model. The record is from RNAcentral.
UACGGGGGGGGUAAGCGUUAUUCGGAAUUACUGGGCUUAAAGAGUUCGUAGGCGGCGCAGAAAGUAGGGUGUGAAAGCCCUCGGCUCAACCGAGGAAUUGCGCUCUAAACUACUGUGCUUGAGGAAGCUAGAGGUGAGCGGAACUGAUGGUGGAGCGGUGAAAUGCGUUGAUAUCAUCAGGAACACCGGAGGCGAAGGCGGCUCACUGGGGCUUUUCUGACGCUGAGGAACGAAAGCCAGGGGAGCGAACGGG